This 498-nucleotide ribosomal RNA is filed under the name uncultured bacterium. RNAcentral's name for it is "partial 16S ribosomal RNA". It matches the Rfam family "Bacterial small subunit ribosomal RNA", at positions 28 to 523 of the family's 1533-position model. The record is from RNAcentral.
GAUGAACGCUGGCGGCGUGCCUAAUACAUGCAAGUCGAACGCAAUACUUCGGUAUUGAGUGGCGAACGGGUGAGUAAUACAUAAGCAACCUGGCCAUGACAGGGGGAUAACUGACGGAAACGACAGCUAAAACCGCAUAGGUAUAAACGAAGCAUUUUGUUUAUAUUAAAAAUGCUAAGGCAUUGGUGAUGGAUGGGCUUAUGGAGCAUUAGCUAGUUGGUGAGGUAGAGGCUCACCAAGGCGACGAUGCAUAGCCGGCCUGAGAGGGUGAACGGCCACACUGGGACUGAGACACGGCCCAGACUCCUACGGGAGGCAGCAGUAGGGAAUUUUCGGCAAUGGGGGGAACCCUGACCGAGCAACGCCGCGUGAAGGAAGAAGGAAUUCGUUUCGUAAACUUCUGUUAUAAAGGAAGAAAGGGAUGUGUAGGGAAUGAUACAUCUAAGACGGUACUUUAUGAGGAAGCCACGGCUAACUACGUGCCAGCCGCCGCCGCGG